Molecule: ribosomal RNA, 270 nt
Filed under: uncultured archaeon
Lineage: Archaea
Description: partial 16S ribosomal RNA
Rfam family: Archaeal small subunit ribosomal RNA
Source: RNAcentral
CAGCACCUCAAGUGGUCAGGAUGAUUAUUGGGCCUAAAGCAUCCGUAGCCGGCGCUGUAAGUUUUCGGUUAAAUCUGUACGCUCAACGUACAGGCUGCCGGGAAUACUGCAGCGCUAGGGAGUGGGAGAGGUAGACGGUACUCGGUAGGAAGGGGUAAAAUCCUUUGAUCUAUUGAUGACCACCUGUGGCGAAGGCGGUCUACCAGAACACGUCCGACGGUGAGGGAUGAAAACUGGGGGAGCAAACCGGAUUAGAGACCCCAGUAGUCC